UAAUACGUAGGGUGCGAGCGUUAAUCGGAAUUACUGGGCGUAAAGGGUGCGUAGGCGGAUAUAUAAGUUAGAUGUGAAAAGCCCGGGCUUAACCUUGGUCGUGCAUUUAAGACUGUAUAUCUAGAGUUAGUUAGAGGGGGGUAGAAUUCCAAGUGUAGCAGUGAAAUGCGUAGAGAUUUGGAGGAAUACCGAUGGCGAAGGCAGCCCCCUGGGAUGUAACUGACGCUGAGGCACGAAAGCGUGGGUAGCAAACAGG
This 256-nucleotide ribosomal RNA is filed under the name uncultured bacterium. RNAcentral's name for it is "partial 16S ribosomal RNA". It matches the Rfam family "Bacterial small subunit ribosomal RNA", at positions 521 to 776 of the family's 1533-position model. The record is from RNAcentral.